RNAcentral lists this non-coding RNA (32 nucleotides) under Rattus norvegicus (Norway rat). The record is from RNAcentral. Lineage: Eukaryota; Metazoa; Chordata; Mammalia; Rodentia; Muridae.
AUGCUCAGGGCAUAGACCAAUCCUGGUGCGGU